This 460-nucleotide ribosomal RNA is filed under the name uncultured bacterium. RNAcentral describes it as "partial 16S ribosomal RNA". It matches the Rfam family "Bacterial small subunit ribosomal RNA", at positions 338 to 795 of the family's 1533-position model. The record is from RNAcentral.
CCUACGGGUGGCAGCAGUGAGGAAUAUUGGUCAAUGGUCGGGAGACUGAACCAGCCAAGCCGCGUGAGGGAUGAAGGUACAGAGUAUCGUAAACCUCUUUUGUCAGGGAACAAAGGCGGGGACGUGUCCCCGGAUGAGUGUACCUGAAGAAAAAGCAUCGGCUAACUCCGUGCCAGCAGCCGCGGUAAUACGUAGGGGGCAAGCGUUAUCCGGAUUUACUGGGUGUAAAGGGAGCGUAGACGGCAGCACAAGUCUGGAGUGAAAUGCCGGGGCUUAACCCCGGAACUGCUUUGGAAACUGCAUGGCUGGAGUACAGGAGGGGCAGGCGGAAUUCCUAGUGUAGCGGUGAAAUGCGUAGAUAUUAGGAGGAACACCGGUGGCGAAGGCGGCCUGCUGGACUGUGACUGACGUUGAGGCCCGAAGGCGUGGGGAGCAAACAGGAUUAGAUACCCGGGUAGUC